Molecule: ribosomal RNA, 427 nt
Filed under: uncultured bacterium
Lineage: Bacteria
Description: partial 16S ribosomal RNA
Rfam family: Bacterial small subunit ribosomal RNA
Source: RNAcentral
UGGGGAAUAUUGCACAAUGGGCGCAAGCCUGAUGCAGCCAUGCCGCGUGUAUGAAGAAGGCCUUCGGGUUGUAAAGUACUUUCAGCGGGGAGGAAGGGAGUAAAGUUAAUACCUUUGCUCAUUGACGUUACCCGCAGAAGAAGCACCGGCUAACUCCGUGCCAGCAGCCGCGGUAAUACGGAGGGUGCAAGCGUUAAUCGGAAUUACUGGGCGUAAAGCGCACGAAGGCGGUUUGUUAAGUCAGAUGUGAAAUCCCCGGGCUCAACCUGGGAACUGCAUCUGAUACUGGCAAGCUUGAGUCUCGUAGAGGGGGGUAGAAUUCCAGGUGUAGCGGUGAAAUGCGUAGAGAUCUGGAGGAAUACCGGUGGCGAAGGCGGCCCCCUGGACGAAGACUGACGCUCAGGUGCGAAAGCGUGGGGAGCAAACA